CAACGCUCGUGUUUGGACACAAGCAAUUAUCUCUAAUUAUUGUUUUUCUUUUCAGUUUCCCUGUCCCGAUGGAGGUCCGACCAGACGAACAUGCAAUAAUCAGCCCCAGUCGUCCUGGCUCAGCGGGCCCCAGAGCUGCAGCCCUCGGUCCCGGGACUACACGGCCUUUCAUCUCAAUUUCUGCCCGCUCUGACUUUAGUCCAGACUUUGGCCCAGUCUCACGUCUCGUCAGUCCUGCUACUCUGUCCUAGACCACCAACUCCACUGCGUCCUUGGAUUCUUCUCUGGACCCGCUAACCCAGUCCCAACUCCCCUUGCUCCAGCCUCAUUCUCCGUACCUGACGUCCUGCAACCCACCCGGGCUUCCCCUGGCCUGCACCCCAUAUCCCCCCUGUGUUUCAAUAAAUACCUUGGUUACCUCA
Oncorhynchus nerka (sockeye salmon) is the source of this 422-nucleotide long non-coding RNA. RefSeq lists it as uncharacterized. Lineage: Eukaryota; Metazoa; Chordata; Actinopteri; Salmoniformes; Salmonidae. The record is from RefSeq and is a predicted model, not a curated record. The transcript has 2 exons.